UCGAGGAUCUUCGGCAAUGGGCGCAAGCCUGACCGAGCGACGCCGCGUGCGCGAUGAAGGCCUUCGGGUUGUAAAGCGCUUUAGCAGGGGAGGAAAGCCGCAAGGUCUGACCUAUCCUGAAAAUAAGCACGGGCUAAGUUCGUGCCAGCAGCCGCGGUAAGACGAACCGUGCGAACGUUGUUCGGAAUCACUGGGCUUAAAGGGCGCGUAGGCGGGCGAUCAAGUCCGGGGUGAAAUCUUUCGGCUUAACCGGAAAAGUGCCUUGGAUACUGGUUGUCUGGAGGGAGGUAGGGGGAUGUGGAACUUCCGGUGGAGCGGUGAAAUGCGUUGAUAUCGGAAGGAACGCCGGUGGCGAAAGCGACGUCCUGGACCUCUUCUGACGCUGAGGCGCGAAAGCUAGGGGAGCGAACGGGAUUAGAUACCCCCGUAGUCC
RNAcentral lists this ribosomal RNA (433 nucleotides) under uncultured bacterium. Its description in RNAcentral is "bacterial SSU rRNA". It matches the Rfam family "Bacterial small subunit ribosomal RNA", at positions 355 to 796 of the family's 1533-position model. The record is from RNAcentral.